CCCCACCAGCCUUCAGACCGAUUAAACACUACAUAGCAAGAGACAAUAGGCAAUUGCUCUAUAUAUGAUGGAGGAAGAAGAGACCUUCACCCCCCUUGAAAACUGUCUCGUUCAGGCCCUUCCAGAUCAAUUACAUGCAGUAGACAGUAAGGACUUUUUAAGGAUCAAGGAACAACUCUUAGAUAAAUCCUCCACUUGCCUAAUCCAAGCUCCAAUUUUCCAAUCAUGAAAAAAAUAUAAUUUGAGAUCCAACUUAAGCUCUCCCUAAAAGUUCACAUGAACUCUGCAAACUCGAUUGAGGUUCAGUUUAUAUGACUGCUUACAUAUUUAUGGUAGUAGUAUUUUCACAAUUAUGAUCUGCAACAGCAACGAAGUUGGUAGAAGAUUUUGGUAGUUUGAACACCAAGUUAGGGAUUUUCCUACGGCUGAAGAACUUCGGCAACCACACAUAAGCAAGAAAAGAAAAUUUCCCAAUGAAAACCAAAAUCAUAAACCAAAUAUUAACCUACGGCCAAUAGAUGAAAAUUCGUAGCGAAAUGCUUACUUUGCACACGGCCGAAGCGGAUGCAGAUCAUCUCCUACUUCGCGAUCAACAAAAUGCAACAGGCAUGACUUAUCGUCUCCCAAAUCCUCCUGGAUCAAAAUCGUCGGUACAACUGCACGCGGAACGAAGAAAAAUUAGAAGCGGGAAGAACAACCAAUUUCGUCCUGGAAAGAACGUAGCCUGAAUCAAGAAAGGAAAAAGGACCAACCAAGAUGGUUAGCGCCGAUCUUGAGGGUCUUGGAUUGCCGCAUCACGAACCCGACUUUGCCACAAAUCGUGAUCGAUCGGGGUUUGAGAGGGGCACGUCCUCAUCCUCGUCGCCGGCGGUGACUGCGACUUCCAAAAGGGGGUGACGAUGGGGGCGAUCUGAGUUCGACCAGACGGACGGUUGGCAACUGGGGUGGAGUGAGAGGUCGUUGGGGUCGGAAGAAGAACGCCAC
RNAcentral lists this long non-coding RNA (984 nucleotides) under Musa acuminata (dwarf banana). RNAcentral describes it as "long non-coding RNA (MACU_LNC006801)". Lineage: Eukaryota; Viridiplantae; Streptophyta; Magnoliopsida; Zingiberales; Musaceae. The record is from RNAcentral.